RNAcentral lists this ribosomal RNA (497 nucleotides) under uncultured bacterium. RNAcentral describes it as "partial 16S ribosomal RNA". It matches the Rfam family "Bacterial small subunit ribosomal RNA", at positions 28 to 507 of the family's 1533-position model. The record is from RNAcentral.
GAUGAACGCUGGCGGCGUGCCUAAUACAUGCAAGUCGAGCGAACGGACGAGAAGCUUGCUUUUCUGAUGUUAGCGGCGGACGGGUGAGUAACACGUGGAUAACCUACCAAUAAGACUGGGAUAACUUCGGGAAACCGGAGCUAAUACCGGAUAAUAUUUUGAACCGCAUGGUUCAAAAGUGAAAGACGGUCUUGCUGUCACUUAUAGAUGGAUCCGCGCUGCAUUAGCUAGUUGGUAAGGUAACGGCUUACCAAGGCAACGAUGCAUAGCCGACCUGAGAGGAUGAUCGGCCACACUGGAACUGAGACACGGUCCAGACUCCUACGGGAGGCAGCAGUAGGGAAUCUUCCGCAAUGGGCGAAAGCCUGACGGAGCAACGCCGCGUGAGUGAUGAAGGUCUUCGGAUCGUAAAACUCUGUUAUUAGGGAAGAACAUAUGUGUAAGUAACUGUGCACAUCUUGACGGUACCUAAUCAGAAAGCCACGGCUAACUACGUG